This 470-nucleotide ribosomal RNA is filed under the name uncultured bacterium. Its description in RNAcentral is "bacterial SSU rRNA". It matches the Rfam family "Bacterial small subunit ribosomal RNA", at positions 32 to 518 of the family's 1533-position model. The record is from RNAcentral.
AACGCUGGCGGCACGCCUAACACAUGCAAGUCGAACGGAGAAUGCUUAGCUUGCUUGCAUUCUAGUGGCGGACGGGUGAGUAACACGUGAGCAACCUGCCUCUGAGAGAGGGAUAGCUUCUGGAAACGGAUGGUAAUACCUCAUAACAUAGAUGAGCCGCAUGACUUAUCUAUCAAAGAUUUAUCACUCAGAGAUGGGCUCGCGUCUGAUUAGCUAGUUGGUGAGGUAACGGCUCACCAAGGCGACGAUCAGUAGCCGGACUGAGAGGUUGAACGGCCACAUUGGGACUGAGACACGGCCCAGACUCCUACGGGAGGCAGCAGUGAGGGAUAUUGCACAAUGGAGGAAACUCUGAAUGCAGCGAUGCCGCGUGGAGGAAGAAGGUUUUCGGAUUGUAAACUCCUGUUUCGAGGGACGAUAGUGACGGUACCUCGGGAGGAAGCUCCGGCUAAUUACGUGCCAGCCGCAGC